CCUCUUGGGAUGCUUACCAAGCACAUCUGUGCACAUCAUGAGAUGCAAUAAAAAUUGCAAUGACAAUGCUAGACAAACACCCACACACCCACUGCACAAGACGCUGGGCAGAUCCAGUGCCAUCCUGCUUGGAAGCAGAUACUACGUAACUGGGCUCUGUGCUGCCAUUGUUUUUCAGAUUAUGAGACAAAGAGGAAAUAAAAAUGAGAAUCUCUGAAAUACUCAGGCUACUCUCUUCACUUUAGGGAGGAGAGGGUAGCCAAUACAAAUUUCUCAUCAAGCACCUUCAUAAAACUUAAUCCCGAAGUUUUUCUUUGACAAAACGCACAGGUUGGAUAGCUAUUCUCUCCCCAUUGGUUUUUGAGGUAUGGGCCCAUGUAAACAUGACAAGUAGCCCCCAAUAAGCCAACAUUCAACAGCAGUUCCUCAAAUCUUGCUGCCAGCAGCGUUAGAGUGAUCCAUAUAAUUACAAAUUAGAUCCAUUUACUGGGGUCUGGUUGCCUAUGCAAGAGCUUGCCUUCCAUAUAUAAACAUAAUUGUGAUAAAUCUGGACUCAACAGCCAUGGGGCAUUCUGAAGAUGAUAUCUAGAGGUUGCCAUGACAACUCCCUAGAAUUCCUGCUGUCUUUUCAUGGUAGAGUUCCUAGCUAAAGCCUGGAAGGUAUCUGAAAUAAAUCAUCAAAAGGUGGGACAGCUGGAAUUGGUCCAUGGAAGAAAUCCAAGUAUGCGGUUCAUAAGUCCUGUGGAGCUCUGUGGACCCAGUCAUACAGCAGAAGAUAUUGUCAACUCUAUAAGUGGCAUCUAAACUUCAUGUGAAACUGUCUUCAUAGCAGAGACCACUUUUGGGCCGGGAAGCACCCCUGUUACCAGUGGUGAGGGCUUCCAAGAAACUUCCCUUCCUCUUGGUGUACCUGGGAGCUCUCUGCCUGACUCAUCCUCUCACCAGUAUGCUGGGGCCACCUAGAGCAAGGGCAACAACCUCUUGCUGUCCCCUGUGUGUCUUUACAGGCCAAAGGAUUUUCUUCCUGUUAACAUGCUUCUCGAGGGCAAGGAGAAGUUCUGAGGAGGAGUUCCAGUCCCCAGCCCUUGCCGUGAAAAAUUACAUACAUUUUUCUCCACUGAUUUAUUUAUCUCUGAUGAUUUAUUGGGAUUAUUUUGGCCUCUGUCAUAAUCUUUUUAGAAAACAAAUGCCCAAGAUUCAAAAAUAUCAAAAAGAGCAAAAAGGAUAUUUAAUGAAAAGGACCCUGGCCCCAGUUCCCUUGCCCAGAAACAAGUAAGAUUACCAAUUGUUUAUCCUUCCAG
RNAcentral lists this long non-coding RNA (1301 nucleotides) under Vulpes vulpes (red fox). Its description in RNAcentral is "lncRNA (ENSVVUG00000002256.1)". The record is from RNAcentral. Lineage: Eukaryota; Metazoa; Chordata; Mammalia; Carnivora; Canidae.